UGCAAGUCGAACGGAAACGAUGGAAGCUUGCUUCCAGGCGUCGAGUGGCGGACGGGUGAGUAACACAUAGGAAUCUGCCUGGUAGUGGGGGACAACCUGGGGAAACUCAGGCUAAUACCGCAUACGCCCUUCGGGGGAAAGCGGGGGAUCUUCGGACCUCGCGCUAUCAGAUGAGCCUAUGUCUGAUUAGCUUGUUGGUGGGGUAACGGCCUACCAAGGCGACGAUCAGUAGCUGGUCUGAGAGGACGAUCAGCCACACUGGGACUGAGACACGGCCCAGACUCCUACGGGAGGCAGCAGUGGGGAAUAUUGGACAAUGGGCGAAAGCCUGAUCCAGCAAUGCCGCGUGUGUGAAGAAGGCCUGCGGGUUGUAAAGCACUUUCAGCAGCCACGAAAAGCCUGAGGCUAAUAUCCUCGGGUCUUGACAUUAACUGCAGAAGAAGCACCGGCUAACUCUGUGCCAGCAGCCGCGGUAAUACAGAGGGUGCAAGCGUUAAUCGGAAUUACUGGGCGUAAAGCGCGCGUAGGCGGUUUGUUUAGUCGGAUGUGAAAGCCCCGGGCUCAACCUGGGAAUUGCAUUCGAUACUGGCAGGCUAGAGCAUGGUAGAGGGAAGUGGAAUUCCGGGUGUAGCGGUGAAAUGCGUAGAUAUCCGGAGGAACACCAGUGGCGAAGGCGGCUUCCUGGACCAAUACUGACGCUGAGGUGCGAAAGCGUGGGGAGCAA
Molecule: ribosomal RNA, 724 nt
Filed under: uncultured Chromatiales bacterium
Lineage: Bacteria; Pseudomonadati; Pseudomonadota; Gammaproteobacteria; Chromatiales
Description: bacterial SSU rRNA
Rfam family: Bacterial small subunit ribosomal RNA
Source: RNAcentral